RNAcentral lists this long non-coding RNA (2238 nucleotides) under Eutrema salsugineum. RNAcentral's name for it is "long non-coding RNA (ESAL_LNC000251)". Lineage: Eukaryota; Viridiplantae; Streptophyta; Magnoliopsida; Brassicales; Brassicaceae. The record is from RNAcentral.
UUUCCGCGACUCUUCCCAUGUCCUUUUCUGAAUACCAUUCCCUCUCACCAUCAUCAAGGAGACUCUUUAUUCUGUUUUGGGCUCUUCUGCUUUUAGUCAUCGCGUGGUAAAAUUUAGUAUUCUUGUCUCCCCCACUCAGCCAGCUGACUCUACUUUUCAGCCUCCAGAAUGCUUCUUCCUGGCGAUACUCUCUAUUCAACUCCCAUCGCAGGUUAGACAUCUCCAACUAGUUGAAAGGAUUUUGGUGUGUCAGCUGGUCCAUCUGGAAAUGAAUUUCCUGUAUUCUUUUCGCUGCAUAAGUCUGCGUGGAUCUUUUCCAGAUUGCUAUAGACUUCCUGCACUCAGCUAAUUUCUCUGAAAUGGAUUUAGAAUUGAUCCGAGAAUUGGCCUCCCAGCAUGAUUUGACUACCUCAAUGAAUCCUUGUCUCUCAACCCAUCGAUAAUCAUAUCUGAAGCUUGCUUUCCUCCUCCCAUGAUUCCCAACAAGACUGGUGAUAAGCGGGCUAUGAUCAGAGCAGAUCUUCUGCAAAUAACAGGCUUGAGCAUUCUCGAACAUCUCCGACCACAAUUGAUUCGCUACAGAUCUGUCAGUCUGCAUUGAACUAAUACGUCAUUUAGAGCCCCUUCAUUUAGAAGGGACAUAAGUAGCAUUCAUGAAAGAACUAACUAAAAAUAAUAAAAAAUGAAAAUUUAUCUGAGAUUAGAAAAGGGUGUCGAGCACGUCUCGGCGACUCUCGAUAGAGCAACGCAUUUGAUGAAGUGCAGGGGACGGUUAAGACUCACAGAGCGAUGAUCGAAGCAUCCAUCUGGAGAACAAAGAUGUUUUAAGGGGUUCACUUAUUAGAUUUUGUGUAAAAGGAAUCGAGUUUGGAACUCGAAGCGUUGGAGCUAAAUCCAACUUUGCCUCCUUUAAGAUCAUUGAUGUUGAUGAAUCUAGGUUUAUGGAGGCGUUUCUGGUGCUUUGGUAGAGUGUGGUGGAGAGAGUUUGAAGAGGCUUAAAGCUAUUUGACUCAGGUUUCCAAUUACAGCUCAGGUUUGAUAUUCACUACAAUCUGACUAUAUGUGUUCUCUCGAUCUAUUAAAUUGUUAAAUCUCAAUUGUGUCAAGCGUUCAACAUGCAUUAGAGCUUUUUUUUCUGACAAGUACUACUAACAUUCUUAAUAAUUUAAGAGUGCUUGGGCUGAUGUGAAAUCUCUGAUUGAGAAGGAAGAGCAGGAGGUAUAAGGAGCCAUCUUGAGGUACUUAAUCAUCUUCAAUCAUCUAUUUCGCAAUCUUAUCAAUCUCUAUCAUGUCCUCCAACUAGAUUCUGGAUUUUGAGAGUUAGCUAUCUCUGCCUUUGAUUGGGUUUCAGAAAUCAUGUUCCUGAAUUUUAUUUGAUUAUUGGUUUUCGUGUCCAGAAUUCCUAAUUUUCGUUUUGAUCUUGUUUAGCAUUUGAAGCAUUCAACUCUUGUUUUGUAUUAAUUUGAGCCUAUUUUGCAACACCGAGCAUGUCUAUGUUAUGUUGUAGAAGAAUCUUAAUUUUGCUGCGUUAUAUGAAUUUGGCAACAGAGAGUUUUGAUGUGGUCAAAUAUUAUUUAGGAGGAUAGGAUAGGAUCACCAAUUUAAGCAUUUAUUAGGACCAAGUCUACUGCUUAAUUAUCUAUUGUGAUUUUACUUUUGUUUGUUCUUAACUACGACAAUUCUUUUGUAUGUGGGAAAUGAAAGGACUAGAUUAGGCUUAAAGCAGUUAAAGACGUAACUAACAGCUCUGCCGCAUUGGAUAACAAAAACUCUUUUAUAUGAAAAGCUUGCAAGGGGAGAGCUUUCAGAUGAACAAGCAGAAGAUAAGUACUAUAUGGAUUUCUCUAAUAUAAGUUAACACGUGAUUAUGGUCAGUUAAAUUACAUUGUUGUCUCUUUUUCUCCAUUAGUCAUAUGUUUGAUACAUAGCACAAAGAGGGAGAAAAUGAAGCAAGCUCAUCGUUAUAGAUUUUACUCUGCUCUUAUUAAGUGAAUUAACAUAUCUCUCUUGCUAAUCUUCUCUUUUGAAAUGAAAAAUCUUUGCUGAGAGGUUCAUGAAGAAGUGAAUCAAGCGACAGAAAAUGCAACAGAGUUGAAAUUUGAUGUUUACAUAGCUCAUGUUUUGCUUACUGUCUCUCCUUGUAUGAUCUAUCUAUGAAAAAUUAGGAUCAUUAACCACUUAUAAAAUUGAGGAAAGUUGUUUAUACUUUUAGGAAGGAUUUUCUGAAUAGCUUUUUCA